Eucalyptus grandis is the source of this 925-nucleotide RNA transcript. It is a transcript of the gene named adenylyl-sulfate kinase, chloroplastic-like, with no coding region annotated. The transcript has 5 exons. The record is from RefSeq and is a predicted model, not a curated record. NCBI's taxonomy places the organism in Eukaryota, Viridiplantae, Streptophyta, Magnoliopsida, Myrtales, Myrtaceae.
GAGAAGCAAGAGCUCUUUAAGAUUUUGUUGCAGCAUAUACUUAAAAUCUGGCUUGGCCUCAAUUAUAGGAAAGAGCACCUUGGCAUGCGCCUUAAGUCGUGGCCUACAUUUGAGAGGAAAGCUGACCUACAUUCUCGACGGCGACAAUGUUUGACAUGGCCUAAAUAGCGAGGGUUAGUUUUACUGCAAAUGAUCGAGAAGAGAAUAUCCAAAGGAUAGGUGAGGUGGCGAAGCUCUUCGCAGAUGCCGGGAUCAUAUGCGUUGCUUGUUUAAUCUCUCCUUACAGAAAGGACCGCGCCAUGUGCCGUGCACUCUUGCUUAAAGGAGGAUUCAUUGAGGUGUUCAUGGAUGUUCCGCUCCAAAUUUGUGAGGCAAGAGACCCUAAGGGCCUCUACAGACUAGCAAGAGCUGGAAAGAUCAAAGGUAAAGUUCGGAGUUUGGGCGCAUCGCUGCUGUCGGCUGCUUUCUCAUGAUCCAAGGCUUUACAGGCAUAGACGAUCCUUACGAACCACCGCUGGAUGCUGAGAUAGUGCUCCGACAUAAGGGACUGGACUGCGGCUCUCCUCGUGAAUUGGCUGAAGAAGUCAUUCUGUACUUGGAAGAGAGAGGAUACCUAGAGGCCUGAAAGGUCUACCGAUACAUAUAUUGCAAAUUGAGGGAAAACAAAUCACUUCCCAUCAAAGACAAAAGGAAAUGAAAAAGGCACCCUUUCUGGGUUAAUGCCCCUGAUUAUGUAUAACCAAAAUGUAACACAAAAUUGUAAUAACUGUUUCGAUCAAAUGAGCGACAUAGUUAUCCCGACUUUGACAUAGUUUACAAUAGUCAGAUGCAUCACACCUAGGGCAGUCAUGUAAAAGCUGUGCGGUCUGCUAAUUGGAAAAUUCUCCUUUUAGCGUGGAAGAAAAUCAGUUCAUUUCCUGUUUCA